CCUACGGGGGGCAGCAGUGGGGAAUAUUGCGCAAUGGGCGAAAGCCUGACGCAGCGACGCCGCGUGAGGGAUGAAGGUCUUCGGAUCGUAAACCUCUGUCAGCAGGGAAGAACGGUCACUGUGCUAAUCAGCAGUGAAUUGACGGUACCUGCAAAGGAAGCACCGGCUAACUCCGUGCCAGCAGCCGCGGUAAUGAGGAGGGUGCGAGCGUUAAUCGGAAUUACUGGGCGUAAAGCGCGCGUAGGCGGUAUGUCAAGUCAAGGGUGAAAUCCCCGCGCUCACCGUGGGAACUGCCUUUGAAACUGGCAAACUGGAGUGUGUGAGAGGUGAGUGGAAUUCCAGGUGUAGGGGUGAAAUGCGUAGAUAUCUGGAGGAACAUCAGUGGCGAAGGCGACUAUCUGGCACAUAACUGACGCUGAGGAGCGAAAGCGUGGGUAGCAAACAGGAUUAGAUACCCGGGUAGUC
Molecule: ribosomal RNA, 465 nt
Filed under: uncultured bacterium
Lineage: Bacteria
Description: partial 16S ribosomal RNA
Rfam family: Bacterial small subunit ribosomal RNA
Source: RNAcentral